This is a small nuclear RNA of Capra hircus (goat), 90 nucleotides long. NCBI's taxonomy places the organism in Eukaryota, Metazoa, Chordata, Mammalia, Artiodactyla, Bovidae. The record is from Ensembl.
GUGCUUGCCUCAGUAGCACAUGAAUUAAAAUUGGAACCAUAGAGAGAUCAGCAAGGUGACAUACAAAUUUGUGAAGAUUCCAUAUUUUAA